This is a ribosomal RNA of 991 nucleotides. It matches the Rfam family "Bacterial small subunit ribosomal RNA", at positions 400 to 1400 of the family's 1533-position model.
CGUGAGGGAUGACGGCCUUCGGGUUGUAAACCUCUUUCAGUAGGGAAGAAGCGAAAGUGACGGUACCUGCAGAAGAAGCACCGGCUAACUACGUGCCAGCAGCCGCGGUAAUACGUAGGGUGCGAGCGUUAUCCGGAAUUAUUGGGCGUAAAGAGCUCGUAGGCGGUUUGUCGCGUCUGUCGUGAAAGUCCGGGGCUUAACCCCGGAUCUGCGGUGGGUACGGGCAGACUAGAGUGCAGUAGGGGAGACUGGAAUUCCUGGUGUAGCGGUGGAAUGCGCAGAUAUCAGGAGGAACACCGAUGGCGAAGGCAGGUCUCUGGGCUGUAACUGACGCUGAGGAGCGAAAGCAUGGGGAGCGAACAGGAUUAGAUACCCUGGUAGUCCAUGCCGUAAACGUUGGGCACUAGGUGUGGGGACCAUUCCACGGUUUCCGCGCCGCAGCUAACGCAUUAAGUGCCCCGCCUGGGGAGUACGGCCGCAAGGCUAAAACUCAAAGGAAUUGACGGGGGCCCGCACAAGCGGCGGAGCAUGCGGAUUAAUUCGAUGCAACGCGAAGAACCUUACCAAGGCUUGACAUGUUCUCGAUCGCCGUAGAGAUACGGUUUCCCCUUUGGGGCGGGUUCACAGGUGGUGCAUGGUUGUCGUCAGCUCGUGUCGUGAGAUGUUGGGUUAAGUCCCGCAACGAGCGCAACCCUCGUUCCAUGUUGCCAGCACGUCGUGGUGGGGACUCAUGGGAGACUGCCGGGGUCAACUCGGAGGAAGGUGAGGACGACGUCAAAUCAUCAUGCCCCUUAUGUCUUGGGCUUCACGCAUGCUACAAUGGCCGGUACAAUGGGUUGCGAUACUGUGAGGUGGAGCUAAUCCCAAAAAGCCGGUCUCAGUUCGGAUUGGGGUCUGCAACUCGACCCCAUGAAGUCGGAGUCGCUAGUAAUCGCAGAUCAGCAACGCUGCGGUGAAUACGUUCCCGGGCCUUGUACACACCGCCCGUCAA